Xylaria castorea is the source of this 98-nucleotide non-coding RNA. NCBI's taxonomy places the organism in Eukaryota, Fungi, Ascomycota, Sordariomycetes, Xylariales, Xylariaceae. The record is from the annotation of a GenBank genome assembly.
GGUUGGUUACUUCAGUUGGUUAGAGCGUCGUACUAAUAUUAUGAGAGAUCGUAAUAUCGGUGAUGCGAAGGUCAUGAGUUCGACCCUCAUACUGACCA